UGAAGACUUACUGAGUUGUAAACCUCGGUACCUUAAGGAAGAAGAUCUGACGGUACUUAAGGUGGAAAGCAUCGGCUAACUCCGUGCCAGCAGCCGCGGUAAGACGGGGGAUGCAAGUGUUAUCCGGAUUUACUGGGCGUAAAGCGUCUGCAGGUGGUUUCUUAAGUCUACUGUUAAAUCUUGAGGCUCAACCUCAAAUCUGCAGUAGAAACUAGGAGACUUGAGUAUAGUAGGGGUAGAGGGAAUUUCCAGUGGAGCGGUGAAAUGCGUAUAUAUUGGAAAGAACACCGAUGGCGAAGGCACUCUACUGGGCUAUUACUGACACUCAGAGACGAAAGCUAGGGGAGCAAAUGGGAUUAGAUACCCCAGUAGUCCUAGCCGUAAACGAUGGAUACUCGAUGUUGGACGUAUCGACCCGUUCAGUAUCUUAGCUAACGCGUUAAGUAUCCCGCCUGGGGAGUACGCUCGCA
Molecule: ribosomal RNA, 470 nt
Filed under: bacterium enrichment culture clone KR 1998/3_DG8f
Lineage: Bacteria
Description: bacterial SSU rRNA
Rfam family: Bacterial small subunit ribosomal RNA
Source: RNAcentral